UGACAUUCCAGGACACUGCCAGCAUGU
This 27-nucleotide non-coding RNA is filed under the name Homo sapiens (human). The record is from RNAcentral. Lineage: Eukaryota; Metazoa; Chordata; Mammalia; Primates; Hominidae.